This 303-nucleotide ribosomal RNA is filed under the name uncultured bacterium. RNAcentral describes it as "partial 16S ribosomal RNA". It matches the Rfam family "Bacterial small subunit ribosomal RNA", at positions 507 to 809 of the family's 1533-position model. The record is from RNAcentral.
AGCAGUAGCCGCGGUAAUACGUAGGUGGCAAGCGUUGUCCGGAAUUAUUGGGCGUAAAGCGCGCGCAGGCGGAUCAGUUAGUCUGUCUUAAAAGUUCGGGGCUUAACCCCGUGAUGGGAUGGAAACUGCUGAUCUAGAGUAUCGGAGAGGAAAGUGGAAUUCCUAGUGUAGCGGUGAAAUGCGUAGAUAUUAGGAAGAACACCAGUGGCGAAGGCGACUUUCUGGACGAAAACUGACGCUGAGGCGCGAAAGCCAGGGGAGCGAACGGGAUUAGAUACCCCCGUAGUCCCUGUCUCUUAUACA